RNAcentral lists this ribosomal RNA (1490 nucleotides) under Enterobacter hormaechei. RNAcentral describes it as "partial 23S ribosomal RNA". It matches the Rfam family "Bacterial large subunit ribosomal RNA", at positions 416 to 1890 of the family's 2925-position model. Lineage: Bacteria; Pseudomonadati; Pseudomonadota; Gammaproteobacteria; Enterobacterales; Enterobacteriaceae. The record is from RNAcentral.
GGCGGGACACGUGGUAUCCUGUCUGAAUAUGGGGGGACCAUCCUCCAAGGCUAAAUACUCCUGACUGACCGAUAGUGAACCAGUACCGUGAGGGAAAGGCGAAAAGAACCCCGGCGAGGGGAGUGAAAAAGAACCUGAAACCGUGUACGUACAAGCAGUGGGAGCCUCUUUAUGGGGUGACUGCGUACCUUUUGUAUAAUGGGUCAGCGACUUAUAUUCUGUAGCAAGGUUAACCGUAUAGGGGAGCCGAAGGGAAACCGAGUCUUAACUGGGCGUUAAGUUGCAGGGUAUAGACCCGAAACCCGGUGAUCUAGCCAUGGGCAGGUUGAAGGUUGGGUAACACUAACUGGAGGACCGAACCGACUAAUGUUGAAAAAUUAGCGGAUGACCUGUGGCUGGGGGUGAAAGGCCAAUCAAACCGGGAGAUAGCUGGUUCUCCCCGAAAGCUAUUUAGGUAGCGCCUCGUGAACUCAUCUUCGGGGGUAGAGCACUGUUUCGGCUAGGGGGCCAUCCCGGCUUACCAACCCGAUGCAAACUACGAAUACCGAAGAAUGUUAUCACGGGAGACACACGGCGGGUGCUAACGUCCGUCGUGAAGAGGGAAACAACCCAGACCGCCAGCUAAGGUCCCAAAGUCAUGGUUAAGUGGGAAACGAUGUGGGAAGGCACAGACAGCCAGGAUGUUGGCUUAGAAGCAGCCAUCAUUUAAAGAAAGCGUAAUAGCUCACUGGUCGAGUCGGCCUGCGCGGAAGAUGUAACGGGGCUAAACCAUGCACCGAAGCUGCGGCAGCGACGCUUAGGCGUUGUUGGGUAGGGGAGCGUUCUGUAAGCCGUUGAAGGUGUGCUGUGAGGCAUGCUGGAGGUAUCAGAAGUGCGAAUGCUGACAUAAGUAACGAUAAAGCGGGUGAAAAGCCCGCUCGCCGGAAGACCAAGGGUUCCUGUCCAACGUUAAUCGGGGCAGGGUGAGUCGACCCCUAAGGCGAGGCCGAAAGGCGUAGUCGAUGGGAAACAGGUUAAUAUUCCUGUACUUGGUGUUACUGCGAAGGGGGGACGGAGAAGGCUAUGUCAGCCGGGCGACGGUUGUCCCGGUUUAAGCAUGUAGGCGGAGGUUCCAGGUAAAUCCGGUACCUUAUUAACGCUGAGGUGUGAUGACGAGGCACUACGGUGCUGAAGUGAUAAAUGCCCUGCUUCCAGGAAAAGCCUCUAAGCAUCAGGUAACACGAAAUCGUACCCCAAACCGACACAGGUGGUCAGGUAGAGAAUACCAAGGCGCUUGAGAGAACUCGGGUGAAGGAACUAGGCAAAAUGGUGCCGUAACUUCGGGAGAAGGCACGCUGAUAUGUAGGUGAAGUCCCUGCGGACGGAGCUGAAAUCAGUCGAAGAUACCAGCUGGCUGCAACUGUUUAUUAAAAACACAGCACUGUGCAAACACGAAAGUGGACGUAUACGGUGUGACGCCUGCCCGGUGCCGGAAGGUUAAUUGAUGGGGU